RNAcentral lists this long non-coding RNA (3098 nucleotides) under Sus scrofa (pig). RNAcentral describes it as "lncRNA (ENSSSCG00055015221.1)". The record is from RNAcentral. Lineage: Eukaryota; Metazoa; Chordata; Mammalia; Artiodactyla; Suidae.
ACUCAAAAGACAAAAAUGAUGUACUGUAUAAUAUGCUUGUUGAUGAAUCCUAAAUCUCAGAUGUUAAAUUGCCUCCCAGGGAUUUCAUUGUGUUUUACAGCUUUAAUAGUUUAAAGGUAAUUUCUGGUUUGGCAUUUUUUGCCCUGUCUUGCUUUUAUAAUUUUUGAUUUUUGCAAAAUAAUUUUUAUAUAUUAUUUAUAACCUUCUAAUAGAUUUUUCAAAAGGAUUGUAUAGAACCAACUGAAUAUUCUUGAACAUUUACGUUUUAAAUGCUUUCUUGGUAAAAGAGAAAUUAGUACUUUAUAGUAAAUACUUCAUAUUAUUCUCAGCUAUUAACUACUGAGUCAUAGAAUUAAAUAAUUCUUUUGUGAAGACUAAAAUGGAUAUUAACAUAAGAAAUUAUUCUUUCCAUUAUAUUUAACUUCACAUACUUUAUAGCUAGCACCAGUGAAUAAGUCUAUUGAAUACAAAAGCUAAAAUAUUACUAGUCGUGGUUCAGAGUAUAAAGAAAAAGAUCUUCUAAAAAGGAAUAAAAUCAUUCAGUAGUAGAAACAUAGUGAAUGAGCACAAGGUGGCUCAGUAUAAAAAAAGCCAAAAUAUAGUAAACAGAAUGGUUUUGUUGUUACCAUUGUUCAUUGGCAUCUUACACAAUUAGGCCUUGACUCUUUAGUUGUGAAGAGAGAGAAUUAGCCAGGAAAGUUUCCCUAAAGACCAAAGAAGCUCUUUACCUAAGUAAUUCUAAAGUUUUGGGGUUUUUUGGAUGCAAACUGUUAUAACUGGAAUGGAUGGGCAAUGGGGCCCUACUGUACAGCAGUGGGAAAUGUGUGUGAUUGGGUCACUUUGCUGUAUAAGAGAACUUGAAGAAACAUUGUAAAUCAACUAUAUUUUAAUAAUAAUAAUCAAAAUAAAUUUAAAAAUAAAAUAAAACAGCAAGAUGAAAAAAAAAAGUCUGUUCCAUGCUCCUUAAACUAAAAAAAAGAAUGUGGUCAACACUUUGAUAAGUAUAAAGCCAAAAUACUCUAUCAAAAACAAAAUCACAUAGCUAGUUCUGCAGCUAUUUUGCUGACAUAAUAUUUUCAGUUUUGAAGUCUCUUCUUAUAUCUAAUGUUACAUCAUAACCCUAAAUUACAUAUGUACAGAUUAAUGAAAUAAAUGAGAUAGAUUGGAGUUCCCAUUGUGGCUCAGUGGGUUAAGAACCCGAAAUAUAUAGUGUUUCUGAGGAUGUGAGGAUGCGCGUUCAAUCCGUGGCCUUAUUCAGUGGGUUAAAGAUCCAGCGUUGCAAUGAGCUGUAGGCAUGGCUGUGGUGUAGGCCUGGGGUGCAGCUCUGAUUUGAUCCCUAGCCUGGGAACUUGGGAACUUCCAUAUGCUACAGGAAGAGAGAGAGAGAGAGAGAGAGAGAGAGAGAGAGAGAGAGAGAGAGAGAGAGAGAGAGUGUUUAGCCCCUGUAACUAUUUAAGACAGAAAUACCAGAGGAAGCUUCUUUCUAAUUAGAGAAUUAUUUAGCAGUGGUUCAAUCACAAAUUCCAUUCCUUGCUUUUUGCUGCUGUUGUAUCUUUGUCUCUGUAGGACUGAAAGAGAAAGAGACCUACAAGGGACCUUAUCUGAAGUGUCCCUCUUUUAUGCUGCUGCUGGUUGAGUGAAAGAUAGAAGAUUGUGCUAGGGGUUUCUAAGAGGUGGAAUAAACCGAUGGAUUUACGGGCCCUGCUGGCAUGCUCGGAGUUCUCUACAGCUCAAUUAGAUUGAGGCACAUUAGCAUGCAUAAUCUCAUAUUUAGAAAUCUUUUGAACCACUAGAAAUUGAACCCAGAACAUUACUCUAAGCCAGCCUUUUCAUCUUGAUAGCAAACCAUAUCUUGAGACUGUCUGGGCAAAACUUAGAUGUUGGAAUAAGUAAUAUUUUCUUGAAAGGUAUGUGUACCAAAGAAAAGCUAAUCAUUGUAUAUAUGAUGGUAUUAAUAUUUUCUGAGAUAUUCUGAUAAAUUAUCAGAUUUAAAUUUUGGCUCUUUUGAAGACAGUUUGCCCUUCAGAAGUAUUAUUUAAACCCAAACCUUUGUUCACUGUUAGCUAUCAGAAAUUCUUGAAAAGUUAUUGCAGUCAUUUUAUUUAAUCAAUUCAUAUUCUCAAUAUAUGGAUAAUAUUUUUUUAAUUAUUGUAUAUGUUAUGUAUAUUUUUAAAUAACAUGAUUAUGAACUGUCACUUUUAAAAUCUGUGGAUAGGACCAUUUUGAAAUAUUUUAAACUCAGGAAAUCUAAUGACUUUAGGUUUUGCUCAGGCUGCAGAUCACCUGUGGAGAUUAGAACUGCCAAAAAAAUAGCUUAAGCAGCCUUUUGAGUAUUCUAAAAUAGGGACAUUUUCCAGAGCAUUGGUUUCUAAAGCUUCCAUUAUUUCUUGAUAAUGAGCUUUCAGGAUUUAGCUAUAGUAUUUAUUCAACAUCUAAGCUGUGGUUUUUUUAUCAGGUAUAUUUUUAUACCUUUAAUAAUCAAACUGAUUUUCAUUGAAAAAAUAUAUAUGUUUCCAUGAAUCUGGAGGAAUUCCCCUUAGUGUUUCUUUGAUGUGGUUUUUGAUGUGUAGAAUAUGGAUUUGAUUGAAGAAUAACAGAAGUGGUGCAAAGAAAAACUAAGAAAAUCAGUAUUUCCUUAAUAGUCUGUCAAAGCCAUUGGCCAGCAAUUAAUCAGCACUGUUUUCCAAAGGUGCCUUCUUGCUUUCUCUGAAAAAAUCAUCCUCUGAUAUUAGGCCACCAGAAUGUUCUCUUCAUGCUCAGAAAGAUGUUUGGCAUAAGGAAAGGGCAUAGGUUCUAGUUAAUAAAACCUACAUUUUAAGUCAAAGGUAAGAAACUUAUUAGUUGUCUCAUCACAGGCAAAUGGAAGAAACUGGUUCCCUCUUGUAAUAUCUGCUGCUGAAAAUUAAACAUAUGAACAGAGCUCUAAGAGAGAACAGCUGGCUGGCUUUUGAGGCAGUACCUCAUGGGAUGGCCCCUGUUGUGGCAUCUCCAUUUACCAAGGUCUCUCCCUCAGCUUUGGGUUGGCUCACAUACAUGUGAUUAUCCUAUGAGAGAAAAGAUAUAAUUAAAAGUCAUACUGAACACUGUAAGCCAGCUAU